UAAGUAAUAGUUGUGUGAUAAGCCUAAAUUUGUUUUGAUGAUUAAUUAAUAUGCACUGAGAACAAGUAAAUUGGAGAAUUCACACCAGUUAUGAAACUUGAAUUAAUACCCUCAUGGCUAUCCAACCUUUUGUAAAUCCAAUCACGCUCUGAAUUGACCAAGUUCCUAUUUAAUAUUAAAAUAAAUAAGACCUUAAAAUUCUUUAUUUAAUAAGACAUCAUAAUGCUUUUUGUAUGUAAUUAAGUGAACAAUGUG
RNAcentral lists this long non-coding RNA (255 nucleotides) under Nicotiana benthamiana. RNAcentral describes it as "long non-coding RNA (NBEN_LNC039259)". Lineage: Eukaryota; Viridiplantae; Streptophyta; Magnoliopsida; Solanales; Solanaceae. The record is from RNAcentral.